Molecule: ribosomal RNA, 253 nt
Filed under: uncultured bacterium
Lineage: Bacteria
Description: partial 16S ribosomal RNA
Rfam family: Bacterial small subunit ribosomal RNA
Source: RNAcentral
UACAGAGGUGGCAAGCGUUGUUCGGAAUUACUGGGCGUAAAGGGCGCGUAGGCGGCCUUCUAAGUCAGACGUGAAAUCCCCCGGCUUAACCUGGGAACUGCGUCUGAUACUGGGAGGCUUGAGUUUGGGAGAGGGAUGCGGAAUUCCAGGUGUAGCGGUGAAAUGCGUAGAUAUCUGGAGGAACACCGGUGGCGAAGGCGGCAUCCUGGACCAACACUGACACUGAGGAGCGAAAGCCAGGGGAGCAAACGGG